UCCAGGGUAGCUUAGUGGACAUGGCAUCUGCCCGGUAAGCGGAACAUUGUGGGUUCGAUUCCCAUCCCUGGAC
Non-coding RNA from Cordylochernes scorpioides, 73 nucleotides. The record is from the annotation of a GenBank genome assembly. NCBI's taxonomy places the organism in Eukaryota, Metazoa, Arthropoda, Arachnida, Pseudoscorpiones, Chernetidae.